AUCCCCUAGUAGCUUAACUGGAUAAAGCGGCUCUCUAACUAAGGGUCAGAUUCAGGUUCGAAUCCUGACUGGGAUG
RNAcentral lists this transfer RNA (76 nucleotides) under Pseudomonas tolaasii. RNAcentral describes it as "tRNA-Val". It matches the Rfam family "tRNA". From Rfam's summary of the family: Transfer RNA (tRNA) molecules are approximately 80 nucleotides in length. The record is from RNAcentral. Lineage: Bacteria; Pseudomonadati; Pseudomonadota; Gammaproteobacteria; Pseudomonadales; Pseudomonadaceae. RNAcentral also lists the same sequence under 1 other name.